Non-coding RNA from Camellia sinensis, 789 nucleotides. The record is from RefSeq and is a predicted model, not a curated record. Lineage: Eukaryota; Viridiplantae; Streptophyta; Magnoliopsida; Ericales; Theaceae.
ACACUUCAGGAUCUAUUUGUUUUCUUUGCUGCUGAAAUCCUAUAUCACUAUUAACUAGAAUUCAACCCCAAAUGGUAGAGAUUUGAGCUUUCUUCUGGAGUUUUGAGUUGCAUAUUAGCUGCUGAAAUCCUAUAUCACUCGUUUAUAAACAAAUGGAAUAAAGAAAGCAUAAGCUGUUCUGCCAGUUUUUGGUGAUUACUAAUUCUAAUCUACUUUUAUGGAUAUCUAUAAAAUCAUGCACCUUUCCACAGCAUACCAAAGGCAUUAAAAGUAAGCUUACGAGCAUCAAUGGAAGGUUUUCUUGAUGCUUUUAUGGAGCAAGUAACCGCCUUUCCGAAUGAUGUUAGAGAAGACCUUAGAUGUUCUAUGGCUUAGGAUGCAGAGACUAUCAAGAACGAGAGCUGAAGCAUCAAUAAAGAUCCAAAAUGUGUGGAACUAUCAAUAAAUGCAGACAAAGACAAAUUGCAAGCACAGCUACCUAAGGAUAUACCAUUGGAUUUUCAGAAAAAGGUUAUUAUAGCCAAACAUGAGAAGCAAGAAGCCAACUCUGAUAUUUUGUUGGGAAAAAAUGAAACUUACAAGCGUCUUAUGGGUAUGUAAACAGUGGGAAUUAACUGCUUAUGCAAAAAUGGUUAACUGAAUUCUUUCUUCAAGAAGCAUAGUGUAUGGUAGUUGAACCAUGUUUUGAACAUAUAUGUCUUCUAUCAAUGGUCUAAUGGCAAUUCAUAGAAAGUUCUUAGCCCUAGUUGAACAUUUAAAAUUGAUUACCUCCAUUUUCCUGAUUUUAGA